CGCGUCGUCGUCGGAAAAGCGCAGGUGUUACUAACGACGUUAACCGCGGCGUCGCCUGCAUGAAUCACAACGGGACCCUGAAAGUGGCGCAAUCAAAUGAAGGCUAUCAUUAAUCCUCCUGUUUCCACCCUGUGAAAAGGGUGCGUCGGAGUAAAUAACCCGGUCAGUAUCAUUAUUCUACGGCGCGCGCGUGUUCGUGUGCACGCGGGGCUCUUACAGAUGCCGGCGCUCGUCCGCGCUCGUUAGGCACUCGAGGAGAGCAGGUGUUUGGAGUUACGGUCAAUCAGUUGGCGCCGUUUGAGCCGCGGCAGCAACACGUGGCGAACGGUCAUCAGCGCCGGCGUCCCGCGGCGACGCAAGCGGAACCGUUGUAGUUGUUGUUGUUGUUGUUGUCGCGAGGCUCUCCCUCUCGGACACCGUGUGAUUACGUGUCAGAGCUCAACACAACCCGCUCAGUGACUGCACAUCAGAUUUGUUGGGCACCUAAUCCUUCCCCUGAGCCAUCUGCUCCAUCGGAAGGAAUGGGCGCGGUAGAAAACGCGAGCCCGACUCCAAAGUGCACGUCAACUUUAACAGCGUACAGGAGUUCAGCAGAAAUAUUAAGACAUGGACGGCGGUGUUUGCUGUGUUGCUCCUCAGCUCAUUUGUCUCCAACAGGCUCCAUCAGAUCAACUGACAGCUGCUGCCUUUCCAGUGCUUUUUCAGUCACUACGGGCGAUUUGGAGCCACACCUGCGGCGUCGGCGUCGCCGUGGGGCCCGGCGGCGAGUGUCCACGGGUGGGGACGUCCUACCUUUUACCUGAGACGUGAAACGCGGCGUGUAAAGGUCCGGUCCGGGCGGGGGCGGGGCUUCGGGCUCCGGGGGGCGUGGCCGUGAAGCCCCUACCUGCUGCGUUAACCCCUUCAUCUCUACGACGGAUGGCCUCCAUCAGGUGAUAACGGGAGAGUCUUCGUUCCCAGCGCAGAGGCUGCAGGACGGGAGAGACAUUAACAACAAGGCGUGAAAGCGCAGAAGUCGGCACACUGGAUUCACUGUACUCCACUAUCUCCUCUUACUUGAGGCUUUGACGGGAUGUGGGCCACUGCGGAUUCCUUUGAAAUGCACCGUGGCCUAGUUCAAAGAUGUUACAGACCUUAGCUAAAUUCCGAGCGCCACACACACCAAAAAAAAAAACUUCAGCGGAGUCUGUUCAGCCACCCAUUCAUUCACUGGCUGCCUCUGUUAGCCUCUUAUGGGCAUAUGUGGAGCAUUCCCACCCAGCGGCUAAUCUCUAGCUCCCUGUGCUAGAUUUCCUGCUUGAAUGCACUGUAAUGACAUUUAUAUCAUUUUGCGAGUAGCCUACUAAUUUUUCCUCAUAAUUCCACCCACUCGCAAAUAUGCACAACAUUAUGCCGCAUGCGACAGAAACAUUGUGAUGAUUGCAGAAUAAAUUGUAAAUUGGCCGUCGUAGCUGUUCUGUA
This 1461-nucleotide long non-coding RNA is filed under the name Betta splendens (Siamese fighting fish). Its description in RNAcentral is "lncRNA (ENSBSLG00000005535.1)". Lineage: Eukaryota; Metazoa; Chordata; Actinopteri; Anabantiformes; Osphronemidae. The record is from RNAcentral.